UGAGAUUAUACAACUGUAACAUGUGUCACAGGCAUCCUAAACAUACGUAACAUGGAACUCGACAUUUUGAUAGCACCCAUGUAAUAUUUGUAACACACCUGUUAUAUGUCGCUCUCCUGGUAAAUAAAUGUAGCGCAUGUAACACAUUUUAGGCUAGUGGAGCACAUGUACAAAUGCACUUGUUGUUGUGAUGCAUUGUAGACAAGAAGAAGAAGUGCAAAGUGGCAGUGAAGAAACUUCCUAUCAAGCCCGAGUGGAGAGUGUGCAGCCCCGCUUACUACACGCCCCACAGAGCAGGACACCUUCCUCAGCCUGCGGCAGGAGACGCCACGUGGGACCACCCCCAAAAGAUUGGACAGUACCGGCAAUACUUUGCCCAGCUGGAUGCCUUCCACGGGGGGGACGUCUGUCCUCCACCUCCUCCUCCACCACCACCUCUUCAUCCUCCUCUUCCUCCCUGUGAGCCGUGUGAAGACGACGUCGCUCCUCCAGUUGAGCCUUACCAGCUGUGAGUGGCCCACACGACGCUGCAUCGCAGAUUUUU
Hippocampus comes (tiger tail seahorse) is the source of this 544-nucleotide long non-coding RNA. RefSeq lists it as uncharacterized. Lineage: Eukaryota; Metazoa; Chordata; Actinopteri; Syngnathiformes; Syngnathidae. The transcript has 3 exons. The record is from RefSeq and is a predicted model, not a curated record.